GCAAUCUCAGAACACUCUGAGGGACACGCGUAAUAAGCCUGAUUGUGAUAUUACGUAGGGUAGGUAUCAAACGACCUUCGUUUGAUAGAUGGGAAUAAGAUGCCAAGAUGGCAUUGAGAAAGGCACCCAACA
Molecule: non-coding RNA, 132 nt
Organism: Vibrio breoganii ZF-29
Lineage: Bacteria; Pseudomonadati; Pseudomonadota; Gammaproteobacteria; Vibrionales; Vibrionaceae
Source: Rfam